UUAACUAAAAUAGUGUUGCUAAUAAGCCCUUUUGUAGUAGUGUGAACCUGCUAACCUGUUAAUAUGUGCUAUCUACAAUUUUAGUUAAGUGUUAUAGUUUUUCCAAAAGAAAGCUACAAUUUGUCCUGGUAGUAUUUUUUUUUUUUUGCACACCUUGCAUAUGAAUGUUCUCUUUUAUUGUUUAUGUGAUCACUUCUGUUAGUAUCUGCUUUUGUUUCUACCAUGCAUGUUUAUGAAGUGUUGAUAUCAUUUUCAUUUAUUUUCCAAUUGUGUUGGCAUGAUGUUCCUUGAAUUCCUUUUGAAGUGGGCAUUUUACCCUUUCAUUUACAACAAUAAACGUGUCUAUACAUCUUUAAUCUGGCAAAGGGUGUUGGCUAUGAUUGCAGUGUUCCUAGCUUAUUCUUUGCAGUGUUCCUCAUUUUAAGAUGAUAUUAUAAUGAAUUAAUCAUUACAAAAAUAACAUGCAUGUCUGCACCCACACACGAACUAUGUUGCCAUGUCUGAAACUUCAGUUUACUCUAGCAUAGAACACUUAUGUCUCUGUCUAUAAAUCACAACUAUAUAACUCUUUAUGUUAAUCACGACACUGAUGCAUGACAUUUACUGGACAACUUACUUAAUGUGAAGUUAUUAAUCUCUUUCAUAAUUUCUACAUUUUUCUUCUGAGACACUGAUGCAUGACAUUUACUGAUGCACGACACUUAUGUCUGCACCCACACGCUCAUGUUAAAACUCCUUGGCUUGAGCUAACAUGUCCAGCGCAAUUGCCUUGUGCAUUACUUCUUGAUCCUAUAUCAAAGAUGUCUUAACCUGAAGUACUCCAGAAUCUUCUUUUUUCAUGUUGACUAUUUUGACGUUUCCCUCUUGUUAACUGAUCUUACUUGUUUCUUGCAUGUUGGUUUAGUUUCGAGCUCUAUCUGAUCAGUUUUACCGCACUCCUGAACACCACAAGUUUGUACGACAACAAGUCAUCACUCAGGUGAUGCACGAAGAUUUCAAUGAAGGCAUCAUUCAAGUUCAAGCCAAGAAGAAAUCCAGCUUGAAUUAUUAUGCUUAAUAGAGUGAGCGCAUUUUGUUAUGGACAGUGCAGAGUUUAAAGCACAUGGUUGCUGCGACGAACCCUAAGACCUGUUUCCUACCAGGGACCGAUCCAUAUAUACCCAGUUCAUGUGGAGCUCAUGGCCCGACUUUAUACAGAAGUCUAUGUAUAACUUUAGCUUUGUAUUUUCACUUAACAUUGUAGACGUCUUUAGUAUUUUCGUUAGUUUUUUUUAAAUCUGGGUUGAAAUAUAGUUCAUCUGGAGUUUUGUUGUCGCCAUGACCUUGUACUGAUAUUAUGUGGCACCGCUGUUUGUUUCCAAGUUUCAACCUAUAAUUGAAAUGUCCAUUAUUGCCAA
Long non-coding RNA from Asparagus officinalis (garden asparagus), 1397 nucleotides. RefSeq lists it as uncharacterized. The record is from RefSeq and is a predicted model, not a curated record. NCBI's taxonomy places the organism in Eukaryota, Viridiplantae, Streptophyta, Magnoliopsida, Asparagales, Asparagaceae. The transcript is spliced from 2 exons.